Molecule: ribosomal RNA, 449 nt
Filed under: uncultured bacterium
Lineage: Bacteria
Description: partial 16S ribosomal RNA
Rfam family: Bacterial small subunit ribosomal RNA
Source: RNAcentral
AACGAACGCUGGCGGCAUGCCUAACACAUGCAAGUCGAACGAAGCCUUCGGGCUUAGUGGCGCACGGGUGCGUAACGCGUGGGAAUCUGCCCUUGGGUUCGGAAUAACAGUUAGAAAUGACUGCUAAUACCGGAUGAUGUCUUCGGACCAAAGAUUUAUCGCCCAAGGAUGAGCCCGCGUAGGAUUAGGUAGUUGGUGGGGUAAUGGCCCACCAAGCCGACGAUCCGUGGCUGGUCUGAGAGGAUGAUCAGCCACACUGGGACGGAGACACGGCCCAGACUCCUACGGGAGGCAUCAGUGGGGAAUAUUGGACAAUGGGCGAAAGCCUGAUCCAGCAAUGCCGCGUGAGUGAUGAAGGCCUUAGGGUUGUAAAGCUCUUUUACCAGGGAUGAUAAUGACAGUACCUGGAGAAUAAGCUCCGGCUAACUCCGUGCCAGCCGCCGCGGUAA